RNAcentral lists this long non-coding RNA (1949 nucleotides) under Salmo salar (Atlantic salmon). Its description in RNAcentral is "lncRNA (ENSSSAG00000111549.1)". The record is from RNAcentral. Lineage: Eukaryota; Metazoa; Chordata; Actinopteri; Salmoniformes; Salmonidae.
GGGAGGCAGGUAGCCAAGUGGUUAGAGGGGAGAGGCAGGUAGCCUAGUGGUUAGAGUGGAGGGGCGGCAGGUAGCCUAGUGGUUAGAGUGGAGGGACGGCAGGUAGCCUAGUGGUUAGAGUGGUGGGGGCAGGCAGCCUGGUGGUUAGAGGGGAGGGGGCAGGUAGCCUAGUGGUUAGAGUGGAGGGACGGCAGGUAGCCUAGUGGUUAGAGUGGAGGGACGGCAGGUAGCCUAGUAGUUAGAGUGGAGGGGCUGCAGGUAGCCUAGUGGUUAGAGGGGAGGGACGGCAGGUAGCCUAGUGGUUAGAGUGGAGGGGCGGCAGGUAGCCUAGUGGUUAGAGGGGAGAGGCAGGUAGCCUAGUGGUUAGAGGGGAGGGAUGGCAGGUAGCCUAGUGGUUAGAGUGGAGGGAUGGCAGGUAGCCUAGUGGUUAGAGUGGAGGGGCGGCAGGUAGCCUAGUGGUUAGAGUGGAGGGCGGCAGGUAGCCUAGUGGUUAGAGUGGAGGGGCGGCAGGUAGCCUAGUGGUUAGAGUGGAGGGGCGGCAGGUAGCCUAGUGGUUAGAGUGGAGGGGAGGCAGGUAGCCAAGUGGUUAGAGGGGAGAGGCAGGUAGCCAAGUGGUUAGAGUGGAGGAGAGGCAGGUAGCCUAGUGGUUAGAGUGGAGGGGCGGCAGGUAGCCUAGUGGUUAGAGGGGGAGGCAGGUAGCCUAGUGGUUAGAGUGGAGGGGCGGCAGGUAGCCUGUGGUUAGAGUGGAGGAGAGGCAGGUAGCCUAGUGGUUAGAGUGGAGGGGAGGCAGGUAGCCUAGUGGUUAGAGUGGAGGGGCGGCAGGUAGCCUAGUGGUUAGAGGGGAGGGGGGGCAGGUAGCCUAGUGGUUAGAGGGGAGGGGCGGCAGGUAGCCUAGUGGUUAGAGUGGAGGGACGGCAGGUAGCCUAGUGGUUAGAGUGGAGGGACGGCAGGUAUCCUAGUGGUUAGAGGGGAGGGACGGCAGGUAGCCUAGUGGUUAGAGUGGAGGGGAGGCAGGUAGCCUAGUGGUUAGAGUGGAGGGGCGGCAGGUAGCCUAGUGGUUAGAGGGGAGGGACGGCAGGUAGCCUAGUGGUUAGAGGGGGAGGCAGGUAGCCUAGUGGUUAGAGUGGAGGGACGGCAGGUAGCCUAGUGGUUAGAGUGGAGGGGCGGCAGGUAGCCUAGUGGUUAGAGUGGAGGGGACGGCAGGUAGCCUAGUGGUUAGAGUGGAGGGGCGGCAGGUAGCCUAGUGGUUAGAGAGCGUUGGACUAGUAACGGAAAGGUUGCUAGAUCAAAUCGCCGAGCUGACAAGGUACAAAUCUGUCGUUCUGCCCCCUGAACGAGGCAGUUAACCCACUGUUCCCUAGUAGGCUGUCAUUGAAAAUAAAAAUUUGUUCUUAACUGACUUGCCUGGUUAAAUAAAGGUACAAAAAAAAUACAAAAUUGUCCCACCCCCAAGUCAUCUGAUAUGACUGUAAAGCUGAUCUUAUUGGCCAACACGACUGUCCAUCUUUCAUUUGACCCCGCCCCCCCAGUCUAAUGCUAUAUACCACAGGUCGUAGAGGUUUAAAAACUAAAUAUUCUUUGGUGCGUUAAUGUAAUCACUGGAGUUUUACGUUUUGAUGUUGUAAUUCAAGCUGUACGUUAUCGUGGAGAAUAUUGCCAAUAGGCUACAUGUGUUUUGGUAACAAUCUAAUGGUUCAUUUUUAGCUCAAACACAGACCACCGGGAAGCUUUUAACCUUGUAAGAUGUCUAGUGAAAACCAAGUGGACAGUGACCUCGUUGACUCUCUGGGCUGUGGUCGGUCACUGGGCCGACCGACCUAGUGACAUAUCAGCUAUGGAGUCUGGACAAUGACCUUGUUGACUCUCUGGGCUAGUGGUCGGUCACAGGGCCGACCGAUCUAGUGACAUAUCAGCUAUGGAGUCUGGACAAUGACCUUGUUGACUCUCUG